AGGUAAGCUACUAAGAGCGAAUGGUGGAUGCCUUGACUGGUAAAGGCGAUGAAGGACGUACUAGACUGCGAUAAGCUACGGGGAGCUGUCAAGAAGCUUUGAUCCGUAGAUUUCCGAAUGGGGCAACCCAAUGUAUAGAGAUAUACAUUACCUAUAUAGGAGCGAACGAGGGGAAUUGAAACAUCUUAGUACCCUCAGGAAAAGAAAUCAAUAGAGAUUGCGUCAGUAGCGGCGAGCGAAAGCGCAAGAGGGCAAACCCAGUGCUUGCACUGGGGGUUGUAGGACUGCAAUGUGCAAGAGGUGAGUUUAGCAGAACAUUCUGGAAAGUAUAGCCAUAGAGGGUGAUAGUCCCGUAUGCGAAAAACAAACCUUAGCUAGCAGUAUCCUGAGUAGGGCGGGACACGAGAAAUCCUGUCUGAAGCUGGGUCGACCACGAUCCAACCCUAAAUACUAAUACCAGAUCGAUAGUGCACAAGUACCGUGAGGGAAAGGUGAAAAGAACUGAGGUGAUCAGAGUGAAAUAGAACCUGAAACCAUUUGCUUACAAUCAUUCAGAGCCCUAUGUAGCAAUACAGGGUGAUGGACUGCCUUUUGCAUAAUGAGCCUGCGAGUUGUGGUGUCUGGCAAGGUUAAGCAAACGCGAAGCCGUAGCGAAAGCGAGUCUGAAUAGGGCGCUUAGUCAGAUGCUGCAGACCCGAAACGAAGUGAUCUAUCCAUGAGCAAGUUGAAGCUAGUGUAAGAACUAGUGGAGGACUGAACCCAUAGGCGUUGAAAAGCCCCGGGAUGACUUGUGGAUAGGGGUGAAAGGCCAAUCAAACUUCGUGAUAGCUGGUUCUCUCCGAAAUAUAUUUAGGUAUAGCGUUGUGUCGUAAUAUAAGGGGGUAGAGCACUGAAUGGGCUAGGGCAUACACCAAUGUACCAAACCCUAUCAAACUCCGAAUACCUUAUAUGUAAUCACAGCAGUCAGGCGGCGAGUGAUAAAAUCCGUCGUCAAGAGGGAAACAACCCAGACUACCAGCUAAGGUCCCUAAAUCUUACUUAAGUGGAAAACGAUGUGAAGUUACUUAAACAACCAGGAGGUUGGCUUAGAAGCAGCCAUCCUUUAAAGAAAGCGUAAUAGCUCACUGGUCUAGUGAUUUUGCGCGGAAAAUAUAACGGGGCUAAAGUAAGUACCGAAGCUGUAGACUUGCGCACAACUUAGAUUAUUUAAGUUUAGAAUAUGAGAAACUAAGUUAUAUGUUUAGUUAUAUUUUUACUGAUUUUUAUAGAGUAAAGAUAGAAAUAAAACUUAGUAAA
Molecule: ribosomal RNA, 1296 nt
Filed under: Campylobacter coli
Lineage: Bacteria; Pseudomonadati; Campylobacterota; Epsilonproteobacteria; Campylobacterales; Campylobacteraceae
Description: partial 23S ribosomal RNA
Rfam family: Bacterial large subunit ribosomal RNA
Source: RNAcentral